Molecule: ribosomal RNA, 116 nt
Filed under: Pteropus alecto (black flying fox)
Lineage: Eukaryota; Metazoa; Chordata; Mammalia; Chiroptera; Pteropodidae
Source: RNAcentral
GUCUACAGCCAUACCACCUUGAAUAAGCCAGAUGUCUGAUCUCAGAAGCUAAGUAGGGUUGGGCCUGGUUAGUACUUGGCUGGGAGACCACCUAGGAAGGCCAGGUGCUGUAGGCA